UACGUAGGGUGCAAGCGUUAAUCGGAAUUACUGGGCGUAAAGCGUGCGCAGGCGGUUUUGUAAGUUUGUCGUGAAAGCCCCGGGCUCAACCUGGGAACUGCAUUUGUGACUGCAUCGCUGGAGUGCGGCAGAGGGGGAUGGAAUUCCGCGUGUAGCAGUGAAAUGCGUAGAUAUGCGGAGGAACACCGAUGGCGAAGGCAAUCCCCUGGGCCUGCACUGACGCUCAUGCACGAAAGCGUGGGGAGCAAACAGG
RNAcentral lists this ribosomal RNA (253 nucleotides) under uncultured bacterium. Its description in RNAcentral is "partial 16S ribosomal RNA". It matches the Rfam family "Bacterial small subunit ribosomal RNA", at positions 524 to 776 of the family's 1533-position model. The record is from RNAcentral.